AUUGAACGCUGGCGGCAUGCCUUACACAUGCAAGUCGAACGGCAGCACGGGUGCUUGCACCUGGUGGCGAGUGGCGAACGGGUGAGUAAUACAUCGGAACAUGUCCUGUAGUGGGGGAUAGCCCGGCGAAAGCCGGAUUAAUACCGCAUACGAUCUACGGAUGAAAGCGGGGGACCUUCGGGCCUCGCGCUAUAGGGUUGGCCGAUGGCGGAUUAGCUAGUUGGUGGGGUAAAGGCCCACCAAGGCGACGAUCAGUAGCUGGUCUGAGAGGACGACCAGCCACACUGGGACUGAGACACGGCCCAGACUCCUACGGGAGGCAGCAGUGGGGAAUUUUGGACAAUGGGCGAAAGCCUGAUCCAGCAAUGCCGCGUGUGUGAAGAAGGCCUUCGGGUUGUAAAGCACUUUUGUCCGGAAAGAAAUCCUUGGCCCUAAUACGGUCGGGGGAUGACGGUACCGGAAGAAUAAGCACCGGCUAACUACGUG
RNAcentral lists this ribosomal RNA (486 nucleotides) under uncultured bacterium. RNAcentral's name for it is "partial 16S ribosomal RNA". It matches the Rfam family "Bacterial small subunit ribosomal RNA", at positions 30 to 507 of the family's 1533-position model. The record is from RNAcentral.